This 442-nucleotide ribosomal RNA is filed under the name uncultured bacterium. Its description in RNAcentral is "partial 16S ribosomal RNA". It matches the Rfam family "Bacterial small subunit ribosomal RNA", at positions 338 to 795 of the family's 1533-position model. The record is from RNAcentral.
CCUACGUGAGUCAGCAGUGGGGAAUAUUGGUCAAUGGGCGCAAGCCUGACCCAGCGACGCCGCGUGAGGGAAGACGGUCUUCUGAUUUUCAACCUCUUUCAGCAGGGAAGACAAAAGGACGGUACCUGCAGAAGAAGCCACGGCUAACUACGUGCCAUCAGCCGCGGUAAUACGUCGGUGGCAAGCGUUAUCCUGAAUUACUGGGUGUAAAGGGUUGGUAGGCGGGUUUGCAAGUCAGAUGUGAAAAUUAUGGGCUCAACCCAUAACCUGCGUCUGAAAAUACAGAUCUUGAGAGUGGGAGAGGUAAACGGAAUGCCCGGUGGAGCGGUGAAAUGCGUAGAGAUCGGGAGGAACACCAGUGGCGAAGGCGGUUUACUGGACCACAACUGACGCUGAGACACGAAAGCGUGGGGAGCAAACAGGAUUAGAUACCCUUGUAGUC